This 464-nucleotide unclassified non-coding RNA is filed under the name uncultured organism. Its description in RNAcentral is "partial contains 16S-23S ribosomal RNA intergenic spacer and 23S ribosomal RNA". The stretch from base 1 to 185 matches the Rfam family "Bacterial small subunit ribosomal RNA", at positions 1348 to 1533 of the family's 1533-position model. The record is from RNAcentral.
UCCAGCAGCCGGCGGUAAUACGUUCCCGGGCCUUGUACACACCGCCCGUCACACCACGAGAGUUUGUAACACCCGAAGUCGGUGGGGUAACCGUAAGGAGCCAGCCGCCUAAGGUGGGACAGAUGAUUGGGGUGAAGUCGUAACAAGGUAGCCGUAUCGGAAGGUGCGGCUGGAUCACCUCCUUUCUAAGGAAAAUGAGGCACACUUGGUUUUUGUUUAGUUUUGAGAGAUCAUUCUGAUCUUUCUUAUAUGUAAGAUACAAAACAUAGGAGUAUAAAUGCUUGCAGCAUUUACAUCACCUGUGCUUUAUGUUCCUUGAAAACUAGAUAACGAUAACAAUUCAAGUAAUUCACUGAGUUUAAACGCUUAGUUUAGUGAUUCUCUUAAUAAUGAUUAAAAUGACAUUUAUAAUGUCAAAGGUUAAGUUGUUAAGGGCGCACGGUGGAUACCUAGGCACACAGAGA